GGGCAGCAGCAAGGAAUCUUGCGCAAUGGGCGAAAGCCUGACGCAGCGACGCCGCGUGGGGGAAGAAGGCCUUCGGGUUGUAAACCCCUUUUAUCAGGGAAGAAUAAUGACGGUACCUGAGGAAUAAGUCUCGGCUAACUACGUGCCAGCAGCCGCGGUAAUACGUAGGAGGCGAGCGUUAUCCGGAUUUACUGGGCGUAAAGCGUGCGCAGGCGGAUUGUUAAGCAAGAUGUGAAAUCCCCGGGCUUAACCUGGGAAUGGCAUUUUGAACUGGCAGUCUAGAGUGUGUCAGAGGGGGGUGGAAUUCCACGUGUAGCAGUGAAAUGCGUAGAGAUGUGGAGGAACACCGAUGGCGAAGGCAGCCCCCUGGGAUAACACUGACGCUCAUGUACGAAAGCGUGGGUAGCAAACAGGAUUAGAUACCCGGGUAGUC
This 433-nucleotide ribosomal RNA is filed under the name uncultured microorganism. Its description in RNAcentral is "bacterial SSU rRNA". It matches the Rfam family "Bacterial small subunit ribosomal RNA", at positions 346 to 795 of the family's 1533-position model. The record is from RNAcentral.